UACGUAGGGGGCAAGCGUUGUCCGGAAUCAUUGGGCGGAAAGCGCGUGUAGGCGGCCCGAUAAGUCCGCUGUGAAAGUCCAGGGCUCAACCCUGGAAUGCCGGUGGAUACUGUCGGGCUCGAGUCCGGAAGAGGCGAGUGGAAUUCCUGGUGUAGCGGUGAAAUGCGCAGAUAUCAGGAGGAACACCGAUGGCGAAGGCAGCUCGCUGGGACGGUACUGACGCUGAGACGCGAAAGCGUGGGGAGCAAACAGG
Molecule: ribosomal RNA, 253 nt
Filed under: uncultured bacterium
Lineage: Bacteria
Description: partial 16S ribosomal RNA
Rfam family: Bacterial small subunit ribosomal RNA
Source: RNAcentral